RNAcentral lists this ribosomal RNA (497 nucleotides) under uncultured bacterium. RNAcentral describes it as "partial 16S ribosomal RNA". It matches the Rfam family "Bacterial small subunit ribosomal RNA", at positions 28 to 507 of the family's 1533-position model. The record is from RNAcentral.
GAUGAACGCUGGCGGCGUGCCUAAUACAUGCAAGUCGAGCGAACGGACGAGAAGCUUGCUUCUCUGAUGUUAGCGGCGGACGGGUGAGUAACACGUGGAUAACCUACCUAUAAGACUGGGAUAACUUCGGGAAACCGGAGCUAAUCCCGGAUAAUAUUUUGAACCGCAUGGUUCAAAAGUGAAAGACGGUCUUGCUGUCACUUCUAGAUGGUUCCGCGCUGCAUUAGCUAGUUGGUAAGGUAACGGCUUACCAAGGCAACGAUGCAUAGCCGACCUGAGAGGGUGAUCGGCCACACUGGAACUGAGACACGGUCCAGACUCCUACGGGAGGCAGCAGUAGGGAAUCUUCCGCAAUGGGCGAAAGCCUGACGGAGCAACGCCGCGUGAGUGAUGAAGGUCUUCGGAUCGUAAAACUCUGUUAUUAGGGAAGAACAUAUGUGUAAGUAACUGUGCACAUCUUGACGGUACCUAAUCAGAAAGCCACGGCUAACUACGUG